GUAUUCGGGUCAUAUGGU
RNAcentral lists this non-coding RNA (18 nucleotides) under Arabidopsis thaliana (thale cress). Lineage: Eukaryota; Viridiplantae; Streptophyta; Magnoliopsida; Brassicales; Brassicaceae. The record is from RNAcentral.